CUUUACCUAUUCAGUGAAGAGAUGCCUUCUGGGCCCUCCCCGGAAACAUAACUAGCUGGUGGAUUUUCUUGUCUUCCAAUGCUUAGGUGGUGUCAUUGAUCAUACUAGCUAAAACCUGGAAUAAGUUUCUCAGCAUUGUAAGGAAGCUGCCAUUACCAUGUGCAGAAAUGAUAAGUCGAUUAUCUGUCUGGCAAUCUUCCCCAAAUGAAUGAGAGUAUCCUCAUUUUGGAGAGAACUCUGCAGUCAUUUGAGGGCUACAUGGUCUACUGGUCAUGUUUCCUUAAACACAUGGAGACCCCUAUGAUCAUUCCUAAGAUGAAAGUGUUUUGGGAAGGGAGGCCAGUUAAUUCCUGUUAUACACAAAAAUUAUACCACAAAGGUACACCUAAUGCCUAAAAAAAUGUUGUUUAGCAUUUUGAGGUCCUUUCAUAUGGCAUUUAAAUCUGAGAGUAUUGGGUUUACAGUACCUCCAGUAUGAUUUUCUAGUGGCCGGUAAGCCUUAUGUUUCCCAGUUCCGUUCAAAUUGGAAAAUUGUCCUUGUGUUUCGGGGACUGAAUACAGUUCUCUGAUUUGUCAUGUCUACUUCACCAGUUGGGGUGGUAUCUGCCCACCUUCGGGACUGAGUGAAAACUAUUGCUUGGGGAUGAAGGAGGCAUCUGAAGGUGUCGUCUGGUGUUUUGCACGGUGCAGGAACUGGGGCCACUCCUGUUUUUUCCAAUGGACUUCUCCAUAAGGUUAGAUAAGGUAGUCAAAUCAUGGCCAGAGCUGCCUGCUAUGGGAUGGCAGACUCAGUAGGUAGCUAAAUUUUAGAUUCCUGCAAGAGUUUGGGAGAGCUGCAUUAGGGCAAUGUCCUUCAUGAGGAAGGUUCAGAUGGAAGUUCUGAAAGAUAAAGAUCAUUAAUGUCCCUCUUUCCUCCUUACCUCCCUGGGACACAGGUAUUCCCUCCUAUGGUUCCAGGGUUGUUGUUCUCUUUCUGCUACGACAAAAUUGGUUUUUGUCGCCCCUGUGGGCAGUAAAGGUGAGGUCUUCGUUGUCAUGGGUGGGGUCUUGCUGGUUCAGUGCAGCCCUUACUGCUUGAAGGGGUAGUAUCAGUUCUCUUCAGGGGAUGCUUGGCUCACAGGGUCUUUUGCCU
Long non-coding RNA from Panthera uncia (snow leopard), 1132 nucleotides. RefSeq lists it as uncharacterized. NCBI's taxonomy places the organism in Eukaryota, Metazoa, Chordata, Mammalia, Carnivora, Felidae. The record is from RefSeq and is a predicted model, not a curated record. The transcript has 2 exons.